AGCGAACGCUGGCGGCAGGCCUAACACAUGCCAGUCGAACGAACCUUUCGGGGUUAGUGGCGGACGGGUGAGUAACACGUGGGAACGUGCCUUUAGGUUCGGAAUAACUCAGGGAAACUUGUGCUAAUACCGAAUGUGCCCUUCGGGGGAAAGAUUUAUCGCCUUUAGAGCGGCCCGCGUCUGAUUAGCUAGUUGGUUGAGGUAAUGGCUCACCAAGGCGACGAUCAGUAGCUGGUCUGAGAGGAUGAUCAGCCACAUUGGGACUGAGACACGGCCCAAACUCCUACGGGAGGCAGCAGUGGGGAAUCUCGCGCAAUGGGCGAAAGCCUGACGCAGCCAUGCCGCGUGAAUGAUGAAGGUCUUAGGAUUGUAAAAUUCUUUCACCGGGGACGAUAAUGACGGUACCCGGAGAAGAAGCCCCGGCUAACUUCGUG
This 434-nucleotide ribosomal RNA is filed under the name uncultured bacterium. RNAcentral describes it as "partial 16S ribosomal RNA". It matches the Rfam family "Bacterial small subunit ribosomal RNA", at positions 29 to 507 of the family's 1533-position model. The record is from RNAcentral.